Molecule: ribosomal RNA, 230 nt
Filed under: uncultured bacterium
Lineage: Bacteria
Description: partial 16S ribosomal RNA
Rfam family: Bacterial small subunit ribosomal RNA
Source: RNAcentral
GAUCAUGGCUCAGGAUGAACGCUAGCUACAGGCUUAACACAUGCAAGUCGAGGGGCAGCAUGUCGGUUGCUUGCAACCGAUGAUGGCGACCGGCGCACGGGUGAGUAACGCGUAUCCAACCUACCCUUGUCCGAUCGGAUAACCCGUCGAAAGGCGGCCUAACACGAUAUGCGGUUCACAGCAGGCAUCUAAGGUGAACGAAAUGUGAAGGAGGAAGGAUGGGGAUGCGU